This 618-nucleotide ribosomal RNA is filed under the name uncultured Intrasporangiaceae bacterium. RNAcentral describes it as "bacterial SSU rRNA". It matches the Rfam family "Bacterial small subunit ribosomal RNA", at positions 116 to 749 of the family's 1533-position model. Lineage: Bacteria; Bacillati; Actinomycetota; Actinomycetes; Micrococcales; Intrasporangiaceae. The record is from RNAcentral.
CGUGAGAAAUCUGCCUUCAACUCUGGGAUAACUCCGUGAAAACGGGGCUAAUACCGGAUAUGAAACCUGCGGGCAUCCGCGGGUUUGGAAAGUUUUUCGGUUGAAGAUGAUCUCGCGGCCUAUCAGCUUGUUGGUGAGGUAAUGGCUCACCAAGGCGACGACGGGUAGCCGGCCUGAGAGGGCGACCGGCCACACUGGGACUGAGACACGGCCCAGACUCCUACGGGAGGCAGCAGUGGGGAAUAUUGGGCAAUGGAGGAAACUCUGACCCAGCGACGCCGCGUGCGGGAUGAAGGCCUUCGGGUUGUAAACCGCUUUCAGCAGGGAAGAAGCGAAAGUGACGGUACCUGCAGAAGAAGCACCGGCUAACUAUGUGCCAGCAGCCGCGGUAAUACAUAGGGUGCAAGCGUUGUCCGGAAUUAUUGGGCGUAAAGAGCUCGUAGGUGGUUCGUCACGUCGGAUGUGAAACUCUGGGGCUUAACCCCAGACCUGCAUUCGAUACGGGCGAGCUUGAGUAUGGUAGGGGAGUCUGGAAUUCCUGGUGUAGCGGUGGAAUGCGCAGAUAUCAGGAGGAACACCAAUGGCGAAGGCAGGACUCUGGGCCAUUACUGACACUGA